RNAcentral lists this ribosomal RNA (495 nucleotides) under uncultured bacterium. RNAcentral's name for it is "partial 16S ribosomal RNA". It matches the Rfam family "Bacterial small subunit ribosomal RNA", at positions 28 to 507 of the family's 1533-position model. The record is from RNAcentral.
GACGAACGCUGGCGGCGUGCCUAAUACAUGCAAGUAGAACGCUGAAGGAGGAGCUUGCUUCUCUGGAUGAGUUGCGAACGGGUGAGUAACGCGUAGGUAACCUGCCUGGUAGCGGGGGAUAACUAUUGGAAACGAUAGCUAAUACCGCAUAAGAGUAGAUGUUGCAUGACAUUUGCUUAAAAGGUGCAAUUGCAUCACUACCAGAUGGACCUGCGUUGUAUUAGCUAGUUGGUGAGGUAACGGCUCACCAAGGCGACGAUACAUAGCCGACCUGAGAGGGUGAUCGGCCACACUGGGAAUGAGACACGGCCCAGACUCCUACGGGAGGCGGCAGUAGGGAAUCUUCGGCAAUAGACGGAAGUCUGACCGAGCAACGCCGCGUGAGUGAAGAAGGGUGUCGGAUCGUAAAGCUCGGUUGUAAGAGAAGAACGAGUGUGAGAGUGGAAAGUUCACACUGUGACGGUAGCUUACCAGAAAGGGACGGCUAACUACGUG